GAGCGGAAGAUGGGAGCUUGCUCCCUGAUGUUAGCGGCGGACGGGUGAGUAACACGUGGGUAACCUGCCUGUAAGACUGGGAUAACUCCGGGAAACCGGGGCUAAUACCGGAUGCUUGUUUGAACCGCAUGGUUCAAACAUAAAAGGUGGCUUCGGCUACCACUUACAGAUGGACCCGCGGCGCAUUAGCUAGUUGGUGAGGUAAUGGCUCACCAAGGCAACGAUGCGUAGCCGACCUGAGAGGGUGAUCGGCCACACUGGGACUGAGACACGGCCCAGACUCCUACGGGAGGCAGCAGUAGGGAAUCUUCCGCAAUGGACGAAAGUCUGACGGAGCAACGCCGCGUGAGUGAUGAAGGUUUUCGGAUCGUAAAGCUCUGUUGUUAGGGAAGAACAAGUGCCGUUCAAAUAGGGCGGCACCUUGACGGUACCUAACCAGAAAGCCACGGCUAACUACGUGCCAGCAGCCGCGGUAAUACGUAGGUGGCAAGCGUUGUCCGGAAUUAUUGGGCGUAAAGGGCUCGCAGGCGGUUUCUUAAGUCUGAUGUGAAAGCCCCCGGCUCAACCGGGGAGGGUCAUUGGAAACUGGGGAACUUGAGUGCAGAAGAGGAGAGUGGAAUUCCACGUGUAGCGG
RNAcentral lists this ribosomal RNA (634 nucleotides) under Bacillus sp. 13547. RNAcentral's name for it is "bacterial SSU rRNA". It matches the Rfam family "Bacterial small subunit ribosomal RNA", at positions 64 to 681 of the family's 1533-position model. The record is from RNAcentral. Lineage: Bacteria; Bacillati; Bacillota; Bacilli; Caryophanales; Bacillaceae.